UGGGGAAUAUUGGACAAUGGGCGCAAGCCUGAUCCAGCAAUGCCGCGUGAGUGAUGAAGGCCCUCGGGUUGUAAAGCUCUGUCGGGAGGGACGAAUAUGGUGGUGUAACGACCAUUUCUGACGGUACCUCCAAAGGAAGCACCGGCUAACUCUGUGCCAGCAGCCGCGGUAAUACAGAGGGUGCAAGCGUUGUUCGGAAUUACUGGGCGUAAAGCGCGUGUAGGCGGUCUCAUAAGUCGGAUGUGAAAGCCCUCAGCUUAACUGAGGAAGUGCAUCCGAUACUGCGAGACUUGAGUGUCAGAGGGGAUGGCGGAAUUCCCGGUGUAGAGGUGAAAUUCGUAGAUAUCGGGAGGAACACCUGUGGCGAAGGCGGCCAUCUGGAUGACAACUGACGCUGAGACGCGAAAGCGUGGGUAGCAAACAGG
RNAcentral lists this ribosomal RNA (425 nucleotides) under uncultured Myxococcales bacterium. RNAcentral's name for it is "bacterial SSU rRNA". It matches the Rfam family "Bacterial small subunit ribosomal RNA", at positions 355 to 776 of the family's 1533-position model. The record is from RNAcentral. Lineage: Bacteria; Pseudomonadati; Myxococcota; Myxococcia; Myxococcales.